Molecule: ribosomal RNA, 260 nt
Filed under: uncultured prokaryote
Description: partial 16S ribosomal RNA
Rfam family: Bacterial small subunit ribosomal RNA
Source: RNAcentral
UACGUAGGGUGCGAGCGUUGUCCGGAAUUACUGGGCGUAAAGAGCUCGUAGGUGGUUUGUCACGUCGUCUGUGAAAUUCCGGGGCUUAACCUCGGGCGUGCAGGCGAUACGGGCAAUACUUGAGUGCUGUAGGGGAGACUGGAAUUCCUGGUGUAGCGGUGAAAUGCGCAGAUAUCAGGAGGAACACCAAUGGCGAAGGCAGGUCUCUGGGCUGUUACUGACGCUGAGGAGCGAAAGCAUGGGUAGCGAACAGGAUUAGA